UGGCGGCGUGCUUAACACAUGCAAGUCGAACGAAGCAAUUUGGAGCUUGCUCCAAAUUGACUUAGUGGCGGACUGGUGAGUAACGCGUGAGCAAUCUGCCCUAUGCAGGGGGACAACAGGUAGAAAUACCUGCUAAUACCGCAUAAGACCACAGGAUGGCAUCAUCUAGGGGUAAAAGAGAUAUGUAUCGGCAUAGGAUGAGCUUGCGUUCUAUUAGUUAGUUGGUGGGGUAACGGCCUACCAAGACGAUGAUAGAUAGCCGACCUGAGAGGGUGAUCGGCCACACUGGAACUGAGACACGGACCAGACUCCUACGGGAGGCAGCAGUGGGGAAUAUUGGGCAAUGGACGCAAGUCUGACCCAGCAACGCCGCGUGAAGGAAGAAGGCCUUAGGGUUGUAAACUUAUGUUGUAAAGGAAGAAAAGAAUGACGGUACUUUACAAGAAAGCCCCGGCUAACUAUGUGCCAGCAGCCGCGGUAAGACAUAAGGGGCAAAGCGUUGUUCGGAUUACUGGGGCGUAAAGGGAGGGUUGGGCGGAAAAAUUAAGGUUAAGUGUGAAAGCCCUGGGGCUUAACCCCGAGAAAUGCACUUGAUACUGGUUUUCUAGAGUGUAGGAGAGGUAAGUGGAAUUCCUAGUGUAGCGGUAAAAUGCGUAGAGAUUAGGAGGAACAUCAGAGGCGAAGGCGGCUUACUGGACUAUAACUGACGCUGAGGCUCGAAAGCGUGGGGAGCAAACAGGAUUAGAUACCCUGGUAGUCCACGCCCUAAACGAUGGAUACUAGAUGUAGGAUAGUAAUAUUCUGUAUCGAAGCUAACGCGAUAAGUAUCCCGCCUGGGGAGUACGUUCGCAAGAAUGAAACUCAAAGGAAUUGACGGGGACCCGCACAAGCAGCGGAGCAUGUGGUUUAAUUCGACGCAACGCGAAGAACCUUACCAAGGCUUGACAUGUUAAUGCAUAGCUAUGAAAGUAGUGAAAUCCUAGAAGCAAUUCAAAGACAUUAACACAGAUGGUGCAUGGUUGUCGUCAGCUCGUGUCGUGAGAUGUUGGGUUAAGUCCCGCAACGAGCGCAACCCCUGUUUUUAGUUGCCAGCAUUCAGUUGGGCACUCUAGAGAGACUGCCGUAGAUAAUACGGAGGAAGGUGGGGAUGACGUCAAAUCAUCAUGCCUCUUACGCCUUGGGCUACACACGUGCUACAAUGGACGAAACAAAGUGAUGCAAGAUAGUAAUAUGGAGCCAAACACAAAAACUCGUUCUCAAUUCGGAUUGUGGGCUGCAACCCGCCCACAUGAAGUCGGAGUUGCUAGUAAUCCCGGAUCAGCACGCCGGGGUGAAUGCGUUCUCGGGUCUUGU
Molecule: ribosomal RNA, 1353 nt
Filed under: uncultured bacterium
Lineage: Bacteria
Description: bacterial SSU rRNA
Rfam family: Bacterial small subunit ribosomal RNA
Source: RNAcentral